UGGCUCCUCAGCCAAGCGCACGAACCAAAUGUCUGAACCCGCGCCACGACGGGCGGUGUGUACAAAGGGCAGGGACUUAAUCAACGCAAGCUGAUGACCUGCGCUUACUGGGAAUUCCUCGUUCUCGGGAAAUAGUUUCAAUCCCCGGUCCCCAUCACGGGCGGGGUUCAACGGGUUACCCGCGCCUGUCGGCGCAGGGUAGGCACACGUUGAUCCGCCCAUUGUGGCGCGCGUGCAGCCCCGGACAUCUAAGGGCAUCACAGACCUGUUAUUGCU
Molecule: non-coding RNA, 276 nt
Organism: Danio rerio (zebrafish)
Lineage: Eukaryota; Metazoa; Chordata; Actinopteri; Cypriniformes; Danionidae
Source: RefSeq, a predicted model, not a curated record